RNAcentral lists this ribosomal RNA (600 nucleotides) under uncultured bacterium. RNAcentral's name for it is "bacterial SSU rRNA". It matches the Rfam family "Bacterial small subunit ribosomal RNA", at positions 97 to 720 of the family's 1533-position model. The record is from RNAcentral.
GGCGGACGGGUAGUAUGUCUGGGGAAACUGCCUAUGAGGGGAUAACUACUGAAACGGGUAGCUAAUACCGAUAACGUCCAAGACCCAAAAAGAGGGGGAUCUUCGGGCCUCUUGCCAUCAGAUUGCCCAGAUGGAUUAGCUAGUAGGUGGGGGUAACGGUCACCUAGCGGACGAAUCCCUAGCUGGUCUGAGGAGGAUGACCAGCAACACUGGAACUGAGAACACGGUCCAGACUCCUACGGGGAGGCAGCAGUGGGGGAAUAUUGCACAAUGGGCGCAAGCCUNAUGCAGGCCAUGCCGCGUGUAUAAGAAGGCCUUCGGGUUCGUAAAGGUACCUUUUCAGCGGGGGAGCGAAAGGUGCUGGUCGGGUCUCAAUAACCACAGGCAAAUUGACGGUUACCCGGCAGAAGAAGGCACCGGGCUAACUCCGUGCCAGGCCAGCCGGCGGUAAUACGGGAGGGGUUCAAGGCGUUAANUCGGAAUUACUNGGGCGUAAAGCGCAAGGCCAGGCGGUCUUGUCAAGUCGGCAUUUUGAAGAUCCCCCGGGGGGCUUCCAAGCUUGGGGGAAANCUUGNGAUUUCGGGAGANACUUUGGCCGAG